UACGUAGGGGGCGAGCGUUGUCCGGAUUCAUUGGGCGUAAAGAGCUCGUAGGCGGCUUGGCAAGCCGGGUGUGAAAACUCCAGGCUCAACCUGGAGACGCCACCCGGGACUGCUAUGGCUAGAGUCCGGUAGGGGAUCACGGAAUUCCCGGUGUAGUGGUGGAAUGCGUAGAUAUCGGGAGGAACACCAGUGGCGAAGGCGGCUUCCUGGACCUGUUCUGACACUGAGGAGCGAAAGCGUGGGGAGCGAUCCGG
Molecule: ribosomal RNA, 254 nt
Filed under: uncultured bacterium
Lineage: Bacteria
Description: partial 16S ribosomal RNA
Rfam family: Bacterial small subunit ribosomal RNA
Source: RNAcentral